UGUUUAACUGACAUGAUUGUGGGACGUCCUACCGGUGGAUUUAGCCUCUUUCUCUUCCGGGAGGGGAGGCGGUCCAGCUAAUAUCCCAUCGCGGUGCUUUUCAUCGAGUGUCGAGGUGGGCCGGUACGUUUACUUUGAACAAAUUAGAGUGCUCAAAGCAGGCCAUCCUCGCCUGAAUACUGUGUGCAUGGAAUAAUGGAAUAGGAAACCUCACCAGGCCCGGACACCGGAAGGAUUGACAGAUUGAUAGCUCUUUCUUGAUUCGGUGGGUGGUGGUGCAUGGCCGUUCUUAGUUGGUGGAGCGAUUUGUCUGGUUAAUUCCGAUAACGAACGAGACUCUAGCCUGCUAAAUAGGCGUUACUUCUGGUAUCUCGAAGGCCCUCGGCUUCGGUCGGGCGGUUUUUACUACCGACGUACUAACAAAUCUUCUUAGAGGGACAGGCGGCGUCUAGCCGCACGAGAUUGAGCAAUAACAGGUCUGUAAUGCCCUUAGAUGUUCUGGGCCGCACGCGCGCUACACUGAAGGAAUCAGCGUGUCCUCCCUGACCGAAAGGCCCGGGUAACCCGCUGAACCUCCUUCGUGCUAGGGAUUGGGGCUUGCAAUUAUUCCCCAUGAACGAGGAAUUCCCAGUAAGCGCGAGUCAUAAGCUCGCGUUGAUUACGUCCCUGCCCUUUGUACACACCGCCCGUCGCUACUACCGAUUGAAUGAUUUAGUGAGGUCUUCGGACUGGUGCGCGGUAAUGUAAUCUUUACGUUGCCGAUUGCGCCGGGAAGAUGACCAAACUUGAUCAUUUAGAGGAAGUAAAAGUCGUAACAAGGUUUCCGUAGGUGA
Molecule: ribosomal RNA, 833 nt
Filed under: Orasema delicatula
Lineage: Eukaryota; Metazoa; Arthropoda; Insecta; Hymenoptera; Eucharitidae
Description: bacterial SSU rRNA
Rfam family: Eukaryotic small subunit ribosomal RNA
Source: RNAcentral